Neocloeon triangulifer is the source of this 974-nucleotide long non-coding RNA. RefSeq lists it as uncharacterized. Lineage: Eukaryota; Metazoa; Arthropoda; Insecta; Ephemeroptera; Baetidae. The record is from RefSeq and is a predicted model, not a curated record. The transcript is spliced from 4 exons.
GAGAGGCAGGCGUGCAAUAACAGCGGAGGCAGCGAUCGGCGGCACGGAUUACGUCAAGUGGCUGCUGUGGCCUUGUCCUAAUGGCAAGUUCGUUCACCCUACGGCUGGCCUUGUGUCACUACUCGCUAACUCCGACUCUGCAUCCUCCACCCUUCCACUCAUUCUCCUGACAGCACCCGCAAAACUGGGUCAACAAUAUAAUAAACUAACUAUGGUGGAAAUUAUAAUUGGGAAGAAGAGAAAUAUUUAAACGGUGUUUGAAUGAACCUGCGAGUUUAUCCAUUCCAUCCAGUUCAAAGAUUAAAAGUUACGACUUGAGCUACCGAACUCACUCAACAACAAUGGACUGCGCAGCGGCCAAGCGACAACUAUAAGAGGAAUAUUUUAACUGCCGUGUAAAGGAACACACAAUCGAAUUCCGUCCACGUACAAGACAAGCAGGUGCAUUAACGGUGAAAAUUGGGUGCAGGAACAAGGAAGCAGUUUUGGGCACGCCCCAGGGAACCCCUUUUUCUCCCGCGUCUUGAGUGCGUCUCUAAACUCAUCUUUCUGGUACACUAACCCUGCAGAGCCCCGAAAUCGACGCGGAAGCAGGGAAACGCAACUUUGAGACGUCGGCCCACACGCACAAGACGCUCCCUAAUGGAGUGACGACUUUGCUUAUCUACGCCAAGAAGACUAAUUGGAAAUCACAUUAUGGCCAGCAAGGGUGCGUGGGCGGUAAUGCGAUCGCCACAUGAUACCACCAAUUUUUUGCUCAGACAGAAAAAUCCUUUGAAAAAAAAAAUGUUAUUUCCAGAUUGGGUUUAUCUGCGAAAUGCAUCAAAGUGCAUUUGCAUAAUAUGUAGAUGGUUUUCGCGACGUGUUGGCCAUAGGAGUUCGUUCCUCCCAGCAUUUGGACUUGCUCGAGGAAUUCCUCUGGCUUGAACUUCCGCAAGAGUGUGAUAACGAGCUUUGAAAUGCUUGAUCAACGU